Molecule: long non-coding RNA, 979 nt
Organism: Aethalodelphis obliquidens (Pacific white-sided dolphin)
Lineage: Eukaryota; Metazoa; Chordata; Mammalia; Artiodactyla; Delphinidae
Exons: 6
Source: RefSeq, a predicted model, not a curated record
UUGUUAUCUAGCCAAGGAAAAUAUAACGUGGGACUCCGAGACCCACACAGUCUCUUUUCGGCAGCCCAAUGGUACCAUCUUUGAACCCUCACUGUCAGUUGGAAACGAGAAUGACACUUUCACUGUUCUCAAUCUGGCUGUAGCAGCGAGUAGACAAACAGCGAAAUUACUGGUUUUGAAAUACUCUAGAAUCCACUGUAAUUAAUCUCAUGAUUAGAGCUAUCAUUAGAUAUCAUUUAUUUUGUCAUUUUUAUGACAAUGUGUUCUUAUGGCAUUAUUUUGAAUUAUGGCCCUUUCUUUUAUUAAACUAAAUUCUAGUAUUUUCCAUUUAUUUGUUAAAAGUCUGAUACUGCAAUUGGUGUCUUAAACCGUGAUUUCAUUUUUGGAGACUGCACCCCAUCUCUAUCCAAAUGUAUUUAUUCAAGGAGUACUCAAUUUACUUAUCACAAGAUCAAGCUCUUCUAUGUUUCAAAAGAGAAGUUUGAAAGAACUAUUGCGGGGCUAUAAGGAUCCAUUCUUGAGCUCGAUUCCACACCCUAUUACUACUACAGUUGGUGUGUUUUAUCCUACCACAACACUUCAGAUGGAGUUUAUAAAGUUUUCAAUGGAAAAGACUACAUAAGCCAUAUUGCCAUAAUUGACACAUUUAAAGGCAUAAAGCAUGUCUCUUAGCGGGCAAGCGAUUGUGACAUGAGUAAUGGUACAGGUAUCUGGAUUUACUUUAUGACUUGAAAAACAGCUGCAGAUCAAUAUACUGGUUAAGCCAGCAAGAAAAAUUGAACUGGCACCAUUUGGUGAUGAGAAGAGAGCAAUGUUCAGAAAUCAAGUGGCUGGAAAAAUAAACCUCCUUGGUCUGGUAGAAAUGAUCUUAAUGAGUGUUGGCGUGGUGAUGUUUACUGCUUUUACGAUUUCAUACUGUGCAUGAAGAUCAAAGUAAAAUAACACUAUUUACAAUACUCAAGACAAGGAAGCAAACUAA